RNAcentral lists this ribosomal RNA (505 nucleotides) under uncultured bacterium. RNAcentral describes it as "partial 16S ribosomal RNA". It matches the Rfam family "Bacterial small subunit ribosomal RNA", at positions 29 to 522 of the family's 1533-position model. The record is from RNAcentral.
AGUGAACGCUGGCGGUAGGCCUAACACAUGCAAGUCGAACGGCAGCACAGGAGAGCUUGCUCUCUGGGUGGCGAGUGGCGGACGGGUGAGGAAUACAUCGGAAUCUACUUUUUCGUGGGGGAUAACGUAGGGAAACUUACGCUAAUACCGCAUACGACCUACGGGUGAAAGCAGGGGACCUUCGGGCCUUGCGCGAUUGAAUGAGCCGAGGUCGGAUUAGCUAGUUGGCGGGGUAAAGGCCCACCAAGGCGACGAUCCGUAGCUGGUCUGAGAGGAUGAUCGGCCAAACUGAAACUGAGACACGGUCCAGACUCCUACGGGAGGCAGCAGUGGGGAAUAUUGGACAAUGGGCGCAAGCCUGAUCCAGCCAUACCGCGUGGGUGAAGAAGGCCUUCGGGUUGUAAAGCCCUUUUGUCGGGAAAGAAAUCCAGCUGGCUAAUACCCGGUUGGGAUGACGGUACCCAAAGAAUAAGCACCGGCUAACUUCGUGCCAGCCGCCGCCGAA